Molecule: long non-coding RNA, 505 nt
Organism: Sphaerodactylus townsendi
Lineage: Eukaryota; Metazoa; Chordata; Lepidosauria; Squamata; Sphaerodactylidae
Exons: 3
Source: RefSeq, a predicted model, not a curated record
GGAGCACCAGGAAAAAGGCAUUUUACCUGGGACAGGUGUGAAAUUUCAGAUCCCCAAGCUAUGGUCAGCCUAUGUGGAACAUUCAUUAUCCUCAUGUUUUCCUUGGAAGAACGUUUUACUUACGUGGGUUUUUCUUCAAGCACUGACCAGGUCCAUGUCCACAACCACUUCAACAAUCCUAUAACAUCAAGUGCUUCUGGAUCAUCCACUGAAAACAGGAUAAAUAAAAGUCGGCCAAAUCACCAUAACCCACAUACACCAAAAUAAGUGUCUAUAGCAUUGUAGUUAGUUUCAUUUUCAUCAGACUCCUGUGAAGGCUACAACUUUACACACACUAAAGUUUAGAAUAUAUCAUGAGGAACUAAGUGAGAUUUCUUUCUGAAUAAAUGUUUCUCUGAUCAAAGUUCCAAGAUUGUAAAAUGGCAGAUUCCUAUAAAAGUCAAUGACAAAAUGUGCAUUAAUUUUUUUUUUCAAUUGAGCAACAGGGCUACAUGCAACUUCUGUC